RNAcentral lists this ribosomal RNA (465 nucleotides) under Vreelandella stevensii. RNAcentral's name for it is "partial 16S ribosomal RNA". It matches the Rfam family "Bacterial small subunit ribosomal RNA", at positions 338 to 795 of the family's 1533-position model. Lineage: Bacteria; Pseudomonadati; Pseudomonadota; Gammaproteobacteria; Oceanospirillales; Halomonadaceae. The record is from RNAcentral.
CCUACGGGAGGCUGCAGUGGGGAAUAUUGGACAAUGGGGGGAACCCUGAUCCAGCCAUGCCGCGUGUGUAAAGAAGGCCCUCGGGUUGUAAAGCACUUUCAGUGAGGAAGAACGCCUGGUGGUUAAUACCCAUCAGGAAAGACAUCACUCACAGAAGAAGCACCGGCUAACUCCGUGCCAGCAGCCGCGGUAAUACGGAGGGUGCGAGCGUUAAUCGGAAUUACUGGGCGUAAAGCGCGCGUAGGUGGCUUGAUAAGCCGGUUGUGAAAGCCCCGGGCUCAACCUGGGAACGGCAUCCGGAACUGUCAAGCUAGAGUGCAGGAGAGGAAGGUAGAAUUCCCGGUGUAGCGGUGAAAUGCGUAGAGAUCGGGAGGAAUACCAGUGGCGAAGGCGGCCUUCUGGACUGACACUGACACUGAGGUGCGAAAGCGUGGGUAGCAAACAGGAUUAGAUACCCUUGUAGUC